RNAcentral lists this ribosomal RNA (468 nucleotides) under uncultured bacterium. Its description in RNAcentral is "partial 16S ribosomal RNA". It matches the Rfam family "Bacterial small subunit ribosomal RNA", at positions 28 to 507 of the family's 1533-position model. The record is from RNAcentral.
GACGAACGCUGGCGGCGUGCUUAACACAUGCAAGUCGAACGGAAAGGCCCUGCUUUUGUGGGGUGCUCGAGUGGCGAACGGGUGAGUAACACGUGAGUAACCUGCCCUUGACUUUGGGAUAACUUCAGGAAACUGGGGCUAAUACCGGAUAGGAGCUCCUGCUGCAUGGUGGGGGUUGGAAAGUUUCGGCGGUUGGGGAUGGACUCGCGGCUUAUCAGCUUGUUGGUGGGGUAGUGGCUUACCAAGGCUUUGACGGGUAGCCGGCCUGGGAGGGUGGCCGGCCACAUUGGGACUGGGAUACGGCCCAGACUCCUACGGGAGGCAGAAGUGGGGAAUAUUGCACAAUGGGCGGAAGCCUGAUGCAGCAACGCCGCGUGCGGGAUGACGGCCUUCGGGUUGUAAACCGCUUUCGCCUGUGACGAAGCGUGAGUGACGGUAAUGGGUAAAGAAGCACCGGCUAACUACGUG